GCGGGGAUAGCUCAGCAGGAAGAGCGCCUGUCUUACAAACAGGAGGUCGUCGGUUCGAACCCGACUCCCCGUACCA
This 76-nucleotide transfer RNA is filed under the name Myxococcales bacterium. RNAcentral's name for it is "tRNA-Val". It matches the Rfam family "tRNA". From Rfam's summary of the family: Transfer RNA (tRNA) molecules are approximately 80 nucleotides in length. Their secondary structure includes four short double-helical elements and three loops (D, anti-codon, and T loops). Further hydrogen bonds mediate the characteristic L-shaped molecular structure. tRNAs have two regions of fundamental functional importance: the anti-codon, which is responsible for specific mRNA codon recognition, and the 3' end, to which the tRNAs corresponding amino acid is attached (by aminoacyl-tRNA synthetases). tRNAs cope with the degeneracy of the genetic code in two manners: having more than one tRNA (with a specific anti-codon) for a particular amino acid; and 'wobble' base-pairing, i.e. permitting non-standard base-pairing at the 3rd anti-codon position. Lineage: Bacteria; Pseudomonadati; Myxococcota; Myxococcia; Myxococcales. The record is from RNAcentral.